RNAcentral lists this unclassified non-coding RNA (301 nucleotides) under Hevea brasiliensis (rubber tree). The record is from RNAcentral. Lineage: Eukaryota; Viridiplantae; Streptophyta; Magnoliopsida; Malpighiales; Euphorbiaceae.
AGUCUAGAUGCAACUUGCAAUAGCAGAAGACAAAUGCUCCACAGAACUUGUUAGAUUGAGAGUCUUUCCUUAGGAAUUCUUCACAAGGAAUCCCAAUACUAUGCUUCUUCCUUCGGGGUUUUUUUCUUCACUAAUGAAGAUAAGUUUUUUAUUUCAAUUUAUAUGUUUGUUAAAACAUAUAACUGCAUGUGAUUACAUGCAACCGUUCGCCCUUUUUCAAUUUUUUUUGUUCUUUAUUAUAAUUAUUUAUCAUACAAAUAAAUAAUUAUAAUAGAAGAUAUGAAUUUGGGUUGACCCAUAU